This 245-nucleotide ribosomal RNA is filed under the name uncultured bacterium. Its description in RNAcentral is "partial 16S ribosomal RNA". It matches the Rfam family "Bacterial small subunit ribosomal RNA", at positions 108 to 353 of the family's 1533-position model. The record is from RNAcentral.
GAGUAAUGUAUGGGGAUCUGCCCGAUAGAGGGGGAGUAACUACUGGAAACGGUGGCUAAUACCGCAUAAUGUCUACGGACCAAAGCAGGGGCUCUUCGGACCUUGCACUAUCGGAUGAACCCAUAUGGGAUUAGCUAGUAGGUGGGGUAAAGGCUCACCUAGGCGACGAUCUCUAGCUGGUCUGAGAGGAUGAUCAGCCACACUGGGACUGAGACACGGCCCAGACUCCUACGGGAGGCAGCAUG